This 79-nucleotide small RNA is filed under the name Flavobacterium crassostreae. RNAcentral describes it as "Flavo-1 RNA". It matches the Rfam family "Flavo-1 RNA". Lineage: Bacteria; Pseudomonadati; Bacteroidota; Flavobacteriia; Flavobacteriales; Flavobacteriaceae. The record is from Rfam by way of RNAcentral.
UUUUUGCAUUAGGGAUGGUAGCGGCAUCCUUUGAUAGAAUGCAAUGGAAUCAAAGAUACAGCGGACAGCCCGACCGUAG